CGCAGCAGCCCAGCCGCGCUGGCGCCCUCUGAUGACCGGAGCCUGCGUUGCACUGACAUUAUCCGCACAGUUGAUUGAUUGAUUUUUCCUUCCUUCUCGCGUUUAUUUUUUCAACAAAUAUUUAUUGAAUGAGUGCCUAAUUUGUUCCAGGCACCGCGCUUCUUGCUUCAGAUACAAAUACGAACAAGAUAGUACUUGCAUUAAAAGAACUUAGUAUAAUGCCGGAAAUGAACACCUAAAUUAAUAAUUACGGUAUUAUAACCCCGUAAACGGAUGUUCGUGGGAUGUUCUGAAAGGUCGAAGAAGGACAGCCAGCCCGCUGUGAAGCAUUUAGGCAGAAUUCCUGCUGUAAGUGUUUCAUAAGUUGGCCUUAGAUGAUGAGCAGAAGUUCUCCAGGCAAAAAGAAGACAGAACUAGCAGUCCAAGGAAACGGUUCAGAAUGAGCAAGAAGUCCAAGGAAACGGUUCCGAAUGAGCAAAAGCACAGAGAUGAUAAAAAAAGAAAAGAAAAAUAAAGCUUUGUGUCUCAGGUGAAACCAGCAGCAGUUCUUUAUUAAUGCAAUGCAACUAGAUAGAUUUUUUUUCAUUGCAUCCUCGCGGAAUAUCAAGUUAUGAAGAAGUGGAAAUCUAGAUAUAGAGACAAAGAAAUAUAUGUAUAACCGAAACAAAAAUUUCACAAAAUUCUAGACACAAGUCAGCUGCUUGGAGCCCUGGAAAACAAAGCUGGUAAAUACAAAGCAUCUAGUCUAAGAAAAACACAGAAAAAAAAAUUAUAUACCCACCUGAGAAAUUUGCCAGCCCCCAACUAGAUAAAGCCAGUACUGAGGAAGGGGGAAGGGGAGGCGCUGAGCAGUUGGGAGAACGUGACCUCAAGAAACUUGCAAGCCUCCACGGGAACAAGCACCACCAUGCCAAAUUCCAGGGAGUUGCUUGGCAGCUCAGCUCGGGUUCUCUGCCAAUUGACAGCAGGCCAUACUUUGCCACUGAUCAUCCAGGUGGGAGUGAGGCUUGGCACUCUGCCCAGCAUUCCUCCCGCACCGAGGGCACAGCAAGUGAGGGCGUAGGAUGCUUAGAGACAUGGUGGUAAUAUAAACGGAAAGCUCUGCACUGGUGUGAAUUUACCCUCAACCAACUAACAUGAGGACUCCCACAAACGGAGAAUAAUAGGAGAACAUCUCAUCCCGGUUACAAAUGCCGUAUCCAAUCCACUAUGCUUUUGGAGGAUCUGGGCCCUUGCCUUGAAUAAUGAGGCAAGAGGAAAGAAUCCUGGGCCCAGAAGACUGGAGGCCAGCAGUCCCCAGUCUUCCAGAAGAGGUUUGCAUAUUUGGGGAAGAAGCAAUUUCACCUGGUAAUUAGCGGCGGUUCGUGGGUGGGCUAUGGAUCUGGGCAUGUGACUGGGACAUACUACUUGAAAAGAAUAGUUAGAAAGCUGGGAAAAGUGGGAUAUGUAACAGAAAGUAUUGGUUGCCCCCAAACCCCACCCCCAUUUCCUUCUUGUUGGCAGAGCUCAGAGUUUGUUCAAGGCUUCAGAAGACAAGCCCUUCCCAAGUCCAAGUUAUGAGAAAAAGUAGCUCUGCCCCCUCCAGAGCAAUGUGAGAUUCUUAGUUGUUUUCUGUAUGUGGCAGAGCUGACAAAGUGUUCAUGUUUUUUUCUGCUUAUUAUAUACAUCUCCAAAACCUUGGGUUAAGGCAGCAUGCAGAAGAGAGCUUCAGGCUGUCCAGCAGGAUGUGGUUUCUCAAUAUUGGUGGCUGUGUCAUGCACUCUGCCCUUUGCACUUGGGAGUGCCUGUUACA
Non-coding RNA from Callithrix jacchus (white-tufted-ear marmoset), 1792 nucleotides. Lineage: Eukaryota; Metazoa; Chordata; Mammalia; Primates; Cebidae. The record is from RefSeq and is a predicted model, not a curated record.